This 399-nucleotide ribosomal RNA is filed under the name uncultured bacterium. Its description in RNAcentral is "bacterial SSU rRNA". It matches the Rfam family "Bacterial small subunit ribosomal RNA", at positions 356 to 773 of the family's 1533-position model. The record is from RNAcentral.
GGGGAAUAUUGCACAAUGGGGGAAACCCUGAUGCAGCGACGCCGCGUGAGCGAAGAAGGCCUUCGGGUCGUAAAGCUCUGUCCUAAGGGAAGAAACGGACGGUACCUUAGGAGGAAGCCCCGGCUAACUACGUGCCAGCAGCCGCGGUAAUACGUAGGGGGCGAGCGUUAUCCGGAAUUACUGGGCGUAAAGGGUGCGUAGGCGGCCUUUUAAGUCAGAUGUGAAAGGCUACGGCUUAACCGUAGUUAGCAUUUGAAACUAGAAGGCUUGAGUGCAGGAGAGGAGAGUGGAAUUCCUAGUGUAGCGGUGAAAUGCGUAGAUAUUAGGAGGAACACCAGUGGCGAAGGCGACUCUCUGGACUGCAACUGACGCUGAGGCACGAAAGCGUGGGGAGCAAAC